GACGAACGCUGGCGGCGUGCUUAACACAUGCAAGUCGAACGCUGAAGCUCAGCUUUUGUUGGGUGGAUGAGUGGCGAACGGGUGAGUAACACGUGAGUAACCUGCCCCCUUCUUUGGGAUAACGCCCGGAAACGGGUGCUAAUACUGGAUAUUCACUGGUCUUCGCAUGGGGGUUGGUGGAAAGGGUUUUUCUGGUGGGGGAUGGGCUCGCGGCCUAUCGGCUUGUUGGUGGGGUGAUGGCCUACCAAGGCUUUGACGGGUAGCCGGCCUGAGAGGGUGACCGGUCACAUUGGGACUGAGAUACGGCCCAGACUCCUACGGGGGGCAGCAGUGGGGACAAUUGCACAAUGGGCGCAAGCCUGAUGCAGCGACGCCGCGUGAGGGAUGGAGGCCUUCGGGUUGUGAACCUCUUUCGCUCAUGGUCAAGCCGCAACAAUGGUUGUGGUGAGGGUAGUGGGUAAAGAAGCGCCGGCUAACUACGUG
This 483-nucleotide ribosomal RNA is filed under the name uncultured bacterium. RNAcentral describes it as "partial 16S ribosomal RNA". It matches the Rfam family "Bacterial small subunit ribosomal RNA", at positions 28 to 507 of the family's 1533-position model. The record is from RNAcentral.